This 267-nucleotide long non-coding RNA is filed under the name Elaeis guineensis (African oil palm). Its description in RNAcentral is "long non-coding RNA (EGUI_LNC037654)". Lineage: Eukaryota; Viridiplantae; Streptophyta; Magnoliopsida; Arecales; Arecaceae. The record is from RNAcentral.
CCUCUGUCCUCACAGCUAGGAGCUACUUCCUCCCAGUCAGCUCCCUCCUAGCCAGGAGCUACUUCCUCCCAGCCAGCUCCCUCCCAACCUCUGUCCUCUCAGCCAAGAGCUACUACAUCUCAACCUGCUCAUGCUUUCUCAUAGCCAACUCCCUUCCAACCAGUAAUAGGUCAUUUGUCUCAGAUAGCAGCACCCCAUUCAUCUCAACCAUGACAUGUAUCAGGGAUAUUUUGGUUGUAUCAAGGCUAUUUUGGAUGUAUCAGGGAC